CGCCAUUUUCGAGUGAUGCCUGAUCUCAUCAAUCUAGCGGGAGAGACAGGAUAACCUGUCCGAGAGUAUAGCGCCACUAUGACUCCGCCGGAAAAAUUACUUUAAAAAUCGCCAAAAAUUACUUGGAGCAAAGGGCAGUCGGCGGAGCUUCGCCAAGGCUGGCGCAGUCGGGUUUAAUAAUGAUAGAAUGAAGACCACAAUAAAAGAGACCUCUACUUAGCUCAGCAAUUCUUACCUUUCUUACCUAUUUGAUGAAGAUGUCUUUUGAAAGGUGUACUGCAAGGAACAAAAUGUUUGUAAAUUCUCCUUUUACCAAGGUGGAUAAUUACUGUACCUUCCUCAUGGAAAAAGUUUUAUUUAAAGUGUUAUUUCUCAUUGAAUACUAUCAAAAAGGAAAAAAAAAUGACCUAAACUUUUGAGAUAGAUUUGGCUCUAGUAAGUAUUUAGUUAUAUCACUUGCAUAUCUGGGAGAAGAAAUAAGAGACUAUCAUCAGUACAUUCCCAUCUACUAAAAAAAUUUAUUUUACACAUGUCAAGGGAUUACUUAUAACUUCCAUUUUAUUACUAAUAGCUUGAACCCUUUUAAUGAAGACCUAACUCCUCCACCAGAAAUUUAAGUUUAUGUUCUUACUUUGUUUACUUAUAAAAUACAUCUCAGGUAUUUCGGAUGUCUUUUUUUUUUCUAAGCCUAUAUGAAAU
RNAcentral lists this long non-coding RNA (699 nucleotides) under Homo sapiens (human). Lineage: Eukaryota; Metazoa; Chordata; Mammalia; Primates; Hominidae. The record is from RNAcentral.